GACGGACGCUGGCGGCGUGCCUAAUACAUGCAAGUUGAGCGAUGAAGAUUGGUGCUUGCACCAAUUUGAAGAGCAGCGAACGGGUGAGUAACGCGUGGGGAAUCUGCCCUUGAGCGGGGGACAACAUUUGGAAACGAAUGCUAAUACCGCAUAAUAACUUUAAACAUAAGUUUUAAGUUUGAAAGAUGCAAUUGCAUCACUCAAAGAUGAUCCCGCGUUGUAUUAGCUAGUUGGUGAGGUAAAGGCUCACCAAGGCGAUGAUACAUAGCCGACCUGAGAGGGUGAUCGGCCACAUUGGGACUGAGACACGGCCCAAACUCCUACGGGAGGCAGCAGUAGGGAAUCUUCGGCAAUGGACGAAAGUCUGACCGAGCAACGCCGCGUGAGUGAAGAAGGUUUUCGGAUCGUAAAACUCUGUUGGUAGAGAAGAACGUUGGUGAGAGUGGAAAGCUCAUCAAGUGACGGUAACUACCCAGAAAGGGACGGCUAACUACGUG
Molecule: ribosomal RNA, 497 nt
Filed under: uncultured bacterium
Lineage: Bacteria
Description: partial 16S ribosomal RNA
Rfam family: Bacterial small subunit ribosomal RNA
Source: RNAcentral